Molecule: non-coding RNA, 211 nt
Organism: Pelobates cultripes (western spadefoot toad)
Lineage: Eukaryota; Metazoa; Chordata; Amphibia; Anura; Pelobatidae
Source: the annotation of a GenBank genome assembly
UAAAGAGCCCCGUUCUACUUCCAUGUCGGGAUAGAGGAUCGGUCCCUAUGUGUUUCCCUAUGAUGGGGCGCACCGUGCACCCCAGUGAUAACACAGAGGGGCUACCUAGAGGACAUAACUUCAAAACCUAAAUCCCAAAAAUCUGACAGAAUGGUUUAAAUACAUGUGUGGAUGAUGUAAUGAUCUGUGUGUAAAAUAUUAUUUAUCUCAC